This 255-nucleotide ribosomal RNA is filed under the name uncultured bacterium. Its description in RNAcentral is "partial 16S ribosomal RNA". It matches the Rfam family "Bacterial small subunit ribosomal RNA", at positions 524 to 776 of the family's 1533-position model. The record is from RNAcentral.
UACGUAGGGUGCAAGCGUUAUCCGGAAUUAUUGGGCGUAAAGAGCUCGUAGGCGGUUUGUCGCGUCUGCUGUGAAAACUGGAGGCUCAACCUCCAGCCUGCAGUGGGUACGGGCAGACUAGAGUGCGGUAGGGGAGAUUUGGAAUUCCUGGUGUAGCGGUGGAAUGCGCAGAUAUCAGGAGGAACACCAACAGCGAAGGCAGAUCUCUGGGACGUAACUGACGCUGAGACGCGAAAGCGUGGGGAGCAAAACAGG